Long non-coding RNA from Lolium rigidum, 230 nucleotides. RefSeq lists it as uncharacterized. Lineage: Eukaryota; Viridiplantae; Streptophyta; Magnoliopsida; Poales; Poaceae. The record is from RefSeq and is a predicted model, not a curated record. The transcript is spliced from 3 exons.
UGUUCUCCCCGGUUCGCCCCCAAUCAUCGUCCCCAUCUCCGACCUGAGUCGUCCGCCAUGGCUGUUUCACCAGAAGCUUUCCGCCAUGGUCUGGUUCAAAGGAUCUGGUGUCCCAUGGGCUUGAGCCCAGUUCCAUCGAUUCGGCCCGACGCCGAUGCACGCCCAGCAUCUGUCCACCGCAGGCCAGCAUUUGCUUCUUCCCGGAUAGGAUCACGAAGUGUUGAUGUGAG